GUUGGCCGCCUUUUAUUCCAUCAGCCAAUAGUGGGCCAUGUACAAUCACCUUGGCAAACUUGUGCAAGCAGUAGUGGCAGCACUGCAUCUCCAUUGUGUACAGAACAGUUUUCAUCAGCAAAAUUCUAUGACAUAGUAAAAACUCUGAGAUACAGAAUUAGAUUAAAAAAAAAAAACCUUGAUAGAGUGAAGCUGCAAUAAGUGGGCUGCAAUAUAGUGAGAGACAUCUGUGAGUGAUUUGUCCAAGGUCCCACAGCUAGGGUGCUAGGCCUUGAUUCUAAGAGAUAAACUUUGCCCUCUCUUUGGAACCUCUUCAUUCUUCCAAGAAUAUCUGAAAUGAAGAGUAGUAGAUGGUGGAACCAAGAUGGCAAAUUAGAAGCAGUAAAAGUUCAAACCACCAUAAGAAUCAUCUCCAACCAACCUUAAAAUAAUGACUCAAAAUUAAUACUGGAGUGAAAGAAUCAACAAGGAGAUGGAGUGAAGCAACUUUCAUGCAGAGAACAACUUGAAAGGUUUCCUAUGCAUUGCUCAUUCCAGGUGUAAUUCUUCCUCAUGGGGAGUAAUGUCUAAAGAAUAAGAGCAGCUGAGUGACCAGAAGAAAACUGUGCUCCUAUCUUACUAAACACAUCUUUUAAGUACUCCAGAGGAAUUUGGACCCUUAAUUGUAGUUCAUUAAGCUCCAGGCAAUAUAACUAACUCUCCGAUUCUCUGAUGCCCUAGGAUCAUAGGAUUUAUCUAUAAUGUAGAAAAGGAUAGGGAAGAAGAGAAGACAUUAUUUUAGAGACCUCCCUCCAGGUUAAAAUCAAUCUCCUAAUCAGUACUUAGGAUGAUAGGAUUUAUAACCAGAAGGAAUCUUAGUUUAACUCCAUCAUUUUGUAUUUGAGGAAAUCACAGCACAGGAAGGGGUGCAACUUGCUAAAAAUCAAAGUCAAUAGCAGAGUCAGAUCCUCUGGUUCCAAACCUAGUAUUCUCGCUACUACAUUAUCCUCAGAACUUUAUUUUCUUGCAUUUACUGCUUUCCAAGCCCCUCCCCCAAAAUAACCCUAAAGACAAAUUACCAUCCAUAUGGCAGGGGAAUUUCUCUGCUCCCAAUUCAAGUUCCCUUGUGAUUUCUGGUAAACUCCUUUUCUAACCAAAAAUGUCUGCCUCGUUACUGGGUUAGUCCAUUUCUUUAAUCCUUAUACUGUUUCCCUUUGGCUUUGUGGGCUCAGCCUACAGUUCUGAACCAGGCCAAAACAAUAUUCUUGCAGCCGAGAAGACUAAUAUCUCCAGCUGCUUCCAGCUGCCUCAGUUUUGAACUUCUUUACUCUUCCCUUACCUACCUUCUGGUCUCUCUGGCAAGACUCCCACCCUUCCUCCAUUCUUCCCAUCUAUUGCUCAGCUGGUCUAUUAGCCUUGCUAAAUACCAGGGUCCCACAUGCCCUGCUAACCAAUCCUUAAGAUCAUCAUUUAAUCCCCUCCUGAAAAUUUCAAUCAGCCCUGCCUCCUCCCAGCCAAGAACAACUCAUAGCCUCUGAAACUCCUUAAUAUAUUCAAUUAACAGCCUAGUACCUUGCCUUAAUCUCAACAUUAGCAUCCUUCUCUCCCUGCUUAUAUACUAAAACCCACCAGGAAC
Non-coding RNA from Monodelphis domestica (gray short-tailed opossum), 1615 nucleotides. Lineage: Eukaryota; Metazoa; Chordata; Mammalia; Didelphimorphia; Didelphidae. The record is from RefSeq and is a predicted model, not a curated record.